Molecule: ribosomal RNA, 494 nt
Filed under: bacterium fme09x51p86
Lineage: Bacteria
Description: bacterial SSU rRNA
Rfam family: Bacterial small subunit ribosomal RNA
Source: RNAcentral
UGCUACACAUGCAGUCGACGAUGAAGCGAGCUUGCUCUGGUGGAUUAGUGGCGAACGGGUGAGUAACACGUGAGUAACCUGCCCUUGACUCUGGAAUAAGCGUUGGAAACGACGUCUAAUACCGGAUACGAGCUUCCGCCGCAUGGUGAGGAGCUGGAAAGAAUUUCGGUCAAGGAUGGACUCGCGGCCUAUCAGGUAGUUGGUGAGGUAAUGGCUCACCAAGCCUACGACGGGUAGCCGGCCUGAGAGGGUGACCGGCCACACUGGAACUGAGACACGGUCCAGACUCCUACGGGAGGCAGCAGUGGGGAAUAUUGCACAAUGGGCGCAAGCCUGAUGCAGCAACGCCGCGUGAGGGACGACGGCCUUCGGGUUGUAAACCUCUUUUAGUAGGGAAGAAGCGAAAGUGACGGUACCUGCNGAAAAAGCACCGGCUAACUACGUGCCAGCNGCCGCGGUAAUACGUAGGGUGCAGCGUUAUCCGGAAUUAUUGG